RNAcentral lists this ribosomal RNA (1536 nucleotides) under Macrotrichomonas yanesha. Its description in RNAcentral is "SSU rRNA". It matches the Rfam family "Eukaryotic small subunit ribosomal RNA". The record is from RNAcentral. Lineage: Eukaryota; Parabasalia; Cristamonadida.
CUUCGGUCAUAGAUUAAGCCAUGCAAGUGUCAGUUCAGGUAACGAAACUGCGUAUAGCUCAUUAAUACGCUUAGAAUCUAUUUGGUAGCGACCAAAAGGUUUUAAUUGGAUAGCAGCAGUAAUUCUGGUGCUAAUACAUGCAUCCCUAGUUUCAUCAUAAAUGACUUAAGAUGAAAAAGUUGACCUUUAAUAGGCACUCCAUUCGAUUAAGCGACCUAUCAGCUUGUACUUAGGGUCUUUACCUAGGUAGGCUAUAACGGGUAACGGGCGGUUACCGUCGGACUGCCGGAGAAGGCGCCUGAGAGAUAGCGACUAUACCCACGGGUAGCAGCAGGCGCGAAACUUACCCACUCGAGACUUUCGGAGGUGGUAAUGACCAGUUUUGAAUUAACUCUUUAAAAGGGUUGUUUAAAUAGGAUAUGCGUUUUCUACUCAUAUGCAACCUAGCAGAGGGCCAGUCUGGUGCCAGCAGCUGCGGUAAUUCCAGCUCUGCGAGUUUGCUCCCAUAUUGUUGUAGUUAAAACGCCCGUAGUCUGAAUUAUUCGAAAAAUAAUAGCAUCUAAUUAGAUGUGUUCACUGCGAACAAAUCAGAACGCUUAAAGUUAGGUUUUUUUAAGAAUGACUUAGCGCAGUAUGAUAUUUUUACCUAAGGUAAAAUCAAAGAGAAUCAUCGGGGAUAGAUCUAUUUCAUGGCGAGCGGUGGAAUGCGUUGACCCAUGAGAGAGAAACAAAGGCGAAAGCAUCUAUCUAGUGGGUUUCUAUCGAUCAAGGGCGAGAGUAGGAGUAUCCAACCGGAUUAGAGACCCGGGUAGUUCCUACCUUAAACAAUGUCAACAAGGGCUUGUUAUUAAUUAAAUAAUAACAGGAUCUUAGGAGAAAUCAUAGUUCUUGGACUCUGGGGGAACUACGGCCGCAAGGCUGAAACUUGAAGGAAUUGACGGAAGGGCACACCAGGGGUGGAGCUUGUGGCUUAAUUUGAAUCAACACGGGAAAACUUACCAGAACCAGAUGUUUUUUAUGACUGACAGGCUAUAGGUCUUUCAGGAUUUGACUUUAGGUGGUGCAUGGCCGUUGGUGGUGCGUGGGUUGACCUGUCUAGCGUUGAUUCAGAUAACGAGCGAGAUUAUUAUCAAUUAAUUACUUUAAGUUUAUUAAAACUUAUUAAGUUCUAAUUGAGACUCCCCGUGUAUAAAUGGGAGGAAGAGAAUAGCAAUAACAGGUCCGUUAUGUCCUUCAGAUGCUCUGGGCUGCACGCGCGCUACAAUGUUAGAAUCAAAGAGUUUAAUAAAGUUGAAAAACUAAAUUACUCUCUUAAUAUCUAACGUAGUUGGGAUUGAUGAUUGUAAUCAUUAUCAUGAACCAGGAAUCCCUUGUAAAUGCGUAUCAACAACGCGCGUUGAAUACGUCCCUGCCCUUUGUACACACCGUCCGUCGCUCCUACCGAUGAAUGAUUCGGUGAAAUCACCGGACUUCUUUUUUUUAAGGAGAAAGGUAAUUAAAUCAAAUUAUUUAGAGGAAGGAGAAGUCGUAACAAGG